Molecule: long non-coding RNA, 586 nt
Organism: Pseudophryne corroboree (corroboree frog)
Lineage: Eukaryota; Metazoa; Chordata; Amphibia; Anura; Myobatrachidae
Exons: 8
Source: RefSeq, a predicted model, not a curated record
AUGUGCUGGAUCUAUCGCCAUCUAGUGGCAGCUGAGGAGUACUGCAGCGACGUAUGACCUCCUUUGGCUCUCCGUAGAAGGCUAUUUAAAGCCCCGCACACCAGAUGGUGUCCUCUGUGACUGAGUUUCUGUGGGGGGAGUAGGGAUUGUGCGGGGAUCCUGUGGCCUGACACCCAGUGCUGAUAAGUGCCGGGUCCCUGAUGUCAUAUAAUACAGGACAGGUGCGGGGACCCUGAAGCCCGGAUCAUACAGGAGAAGUGCCGGGUCCCUGAUGUCAUAUAAUACAGGACUGGUGCGGGGACCCUGAAGCCCGGAUCAUACAGGAUAAGUGCCGGGUCCCUGAUGUCAUAUAAUACAGGGCAGGUGCGGGGACCCUGAAGCCCGGAUCAUACAGGUGAUGUCUGGGGAUGACUGAGGAGCGGCACGCAGCUUAGCGGGUGAGUAUACACUGACAGUAGAUCUACAGGAGGCCAGAGGCACGGUCGCUGGAGGGUCAGCACUGAACCAGAGCAGAUCUGCUCUAUACAAUGUGUGAAAUUGGAAUGGUUUCUAUUUCCUUAUUAUUUCAAUAAAACUAUUAAACCAA